CAUUAUCAACCAUCAAGCCUGGCUUGUCGUUGGACCUUUGGUCGUCGAGACCGGUCCGAAAGAUAAUGGACGGGCGUCUGGUGGCCCCCAAUGCAACGAGCUCUUUACACAGCACGCAUCGGUGUGGUCGGCAGCCCCGCCCCAAACCCCCCUUUUCUCAGGUUGACCUCGGAUCAGGUAGGAAUACCCGCUGAACUUAA
RNAcentral lists this unclassified non-coding RNA (200 nucleotides) under soil metagenome. Its description in RNAcentral is "partial contains internal transcribed spacer 2 and large subunit ribosomal RNA". The record is from RNAcentral.